RNAcentral lists this small RNA (28 nucleotides) under Bombyx mori (domestic silkworm). Its description in RNAcentral is "ovarian small RNA-18055". The record is from RNAcentral. Lineage: Eukaryota; Metazoa; Arthropoda; Insecta; Lepidoptera; Bombycidae.
UAAAAGGUCUUUCCCGUGUGUGUUUUGC